CCAAAAAAGUGAAAUGGAGUGGGGUAAAAUUUGUCUAUGAUCUGACAUAUUGAUUAUUACUUUUUGUAUCUUUGGUUAGAUAGAGGCUAUCAUGAACGACUUCAUUCAGCUAAAAGCAGAGUGUAAUGCCAAUGAAGCUGAAACAAUGGUUGAAAGUACACUUGAAGGUUUUUCUUUCGACUCGGAAGAUGAGGCCGACAAGAUGCCUAAAAUUUCUCAUCAAACUGAUCAAAAUGAAGGCAAUGAAGAACAGACCAAAGGAAGAACACGAGGAAAAGCUGAGAAAUGAUUGUAUGUUUUGAAACCUUUCUAUUUAAUUCGUUAUAAAAAUUUCCAGAAUCCAUAAAUCCUGGAUUUUCCAUUUCUUUAAAUGUGUGAGGGGAAAAAAUAUAACUAAAAUAUAAAUAAAUAAACCACAUUUGUUCUAAUGUAAUGCCAUUGUUCAAGUAUUUUUAAUUUAUGGAGAUCUGGAUUCAGGUGGUGGCGAAAAAGGCGGCUAAAACUGGAGGAAAUGCCCGGCUUGCAACGAGAGUAAGAAAGAAAGCUCUUGCAUCAAAAAAAAAAACCAAGACUAAGAAAUGAGAGAGCAAUUUGUUUUUCC
Long non-coding RNA from Hevea brasiliensis (rubber tree), 601 nucleotides. RefSeq lists it as uncharacterized. Lineage: Eukaryota; Viridiplantae; Streptophyta; Magnoliopsida; Malpighiales; Euphorbiaceae. The record is from RefSeq and is a predicted model, not a curated record. The transcript has 2 exons.